AAAUCGAGAGCGUCUUCAUUGACCUCUCACCCUUCACAUCCACAUACACCUGUGCACCGUUUGGCUCUUAUAAAAGACGCAAGUCUGCAAUGAGAGUCAUCAAUUUUAUACAUACCCCAGUCUUAUGAAUGUAACAGUUUUAAUAAACAUAAUAAAACUUUUAACAACGGAUCUCUUGGUUCUCGCAUCGAAAGGAACGCAGCCAAACAUAAGCAAUACAACAAUUAACAAUGGAUCUCUAGGCUCUUGCAUCGAUGAAGAACG
RNAcentral lists this unclassified non-coding RNA (264 nucleotides) under uncultured Mrakia. RNAcentral's name for it is "sequence contains ITS1". The stretch from base 220 to 264 matches the Rfam family "5.8S ribosomal RNA", at positions 1 to 45 of the family's 154-position model. The record is from RNAcentral. Lineage: Eukaryota; Fungi; Basidiomycota; Tremellomycetes; Cystofilobasidiales; Cystofilobasidiaceae.